Molecule: ribosomal RNA, 248 nt
Filed under: Clostridioides sp. ZZV14-6104
Lineage: Bacteria; Bacillati; Bacillota; Clostridia; Peptostreptococcales; Peptostreptococcaceae
Description: partial 23S ribosomal RNA
Rfam family: Bacterial large subunit ribosomal RNA
Source: RNAcentral
AUCCGAAGAUUUCCGAAUGAGGAAACUCACUUAGAGUAAUGUCUAAGUAUCAUUAAGUGAAUACAUAGCUUAAUGAGGGGAACUCAGGGAACUGAAACAUCUAAGUACCUGAAGGAAGAGAAAGAAAGUCGAUUCCGUAAGUAGCGGCGAGCGAACGCGGAAUAGCCCAAACCAAUAAAGUUUUCUUUAUUGGGGUUGCGGACAUAUCUUAAACGAAGAGGUAUCGUAAUUGAAGAGGUUUGGAAAGA